This 204-nucleotide long non-coding RNA is filed under the name Jatropha curcas. Its description in RNAcentral is "long non-coding RNA (JCUR_LNC001327)". Lineage: Eukaryota; Viridiplantae; Streptophyta; Magnoliopsida; Malpighiales; Euphorbiaceae. The record is from RNAcentral.
CCGCACCUGUGAAAAUUGACAUAAAUACAUAUAUAUCACACACGCAAUUCAAGAACAAUAUAAAAAUGUAAUUUUUAUUGUACUGAACAAAUUAAAAUAUGAAAAUACAAAAGAAAAACUAAAAAGGUCCAAAAUCAAAUCUAUGCUGCUGCUCAUCUGCAGGAUCCGAUGUCGGAUCUCCCGAUGUCGGAUCGCCGGGAGNNN